Molecule: long non-coding RNA, 1707 nt
Filed under: Mizuhopecten yessoensis (Yesso scallop)
Lineage: Eukaryota; Metazoa; Mollusca; Bivalvia; Pectinida; Pectinidae
Description: uncharacterized LOC110449563
Source: RNAcentral
UUGAAUUAAGUAUUUUUAAAAUAGUUUCUAAUCAUCUUUUAUAUCACAAUGAAGCUGGCCAAGGCUGUUUCAAUGAUCUCAACUAUUUUUCAUUUACAUAAACUUUAAACAUUGCUCGAUGGGAAGAUUUAAUUGAUAAAAUGGUCUUCGUUUAGAUUGAAGGGAUGUUGAUGGGUAUCAGUAAUAAUUAAAAUCACUUUUAUUGCCAAUCAUAUUUGUUUUCCAAAUUGGCGACACGCUUGCUGAAUUUCAAGAUGGUUUUCAUUGUCUGCUUUGAACAUUUUUUAUUUGGUAUAACUGUUUCCUCACUCUUGUUUUGAUGUUGAUCCCAUUUAUUUAAUCUUUUUUAGUUGAAAUCUUUAAAUUAUUCCUACUUUUUUACAACAUUAUUGGAAUACGGAUCAUCCUGAAUUUAUCUAGUUCGGUAUAUUUCAAUCAAAAGACCUGAUUGGGUAAAUCAUUAUAUUGUAUGUGCAUGGCCACACAUCGCUAUGGCACAUGUGAUUGUUUGUUUUGUAGUUAUGAAAUUUAAUAAAAACUGAAUAUUAAAUAGUUAUUGUUAAUCAUAACAACAAUUUAUUCAUAUUCACAGACUUUUUUCAUACAAUAAGUCAAUAACACUAUCUUUGUGCACAAAUAACUUCGUCAAUCAAACCAACUCUAUGUAGAAUGAUUGAUAAUAAUUCUUUCAAUGUUUAAAAUUUACAUUAAAUUCGUUUUUCUCUUAUUAGAAUGCAUGUAAGUACAUAUAUAUAGAAACUAACACAGAAGGUAUACUGGGUUACUUGUAUUAUCAUCAGUUCAUAUGUAAUCGGUUACCCAUGUUACGGGUUACCUCAAUAUUGGGUUACCUGUAUUAUCAGUUCCUAUGUAUUUGGUUACCUACCUGGUAUGCUACGGGUUACUUAAAUAAUGGGUUACCUGUAUUAUUUGAUUCCUAUCUAAUUGGUUAGCUGUGUUAUCUAGGUUACCUAUAUAAAGGGUUAUUUGUGUUACCUAGGUUACCCGUGUAACCUAGGUUACCUGUGUUACCUAGGUUACCUAGGCUACCUGUGUGACCUAGGUUACCUAGGCUACCUGUGUUACCUAGGUUACCUAUAGUAUGUGUUGCCUAGGUUACAUAUAUAAUGGUUAACCUGUGUUACUUAGGUAACCUUUAUAAUGUGUCACCUGUGUUACCUAGGUUACCUGUGUUACCUAGGCUACCUGUGUUACCUAGGCUACCUGUGUUACCUAGGCUACCUGUGUUACCUAGGUUACCUGUGUUACCUAGGCUACCUAUAGUAUGUGUCACCUGUGUUACCUAAGUUACAUAUAUAAUGGUUAACCUGUGUUACUUAGGUAACCUUUAUAAUGUGUAACCUAGGUUACCUAUAUAUUGGGUUACCUGUGUUACCUAGGCUACCUGUACUAUCUAGGUAACCUAUAUAAUGGGUUACCUGUAUAAUAUUAACAUGUAGACAGAACAACAUUACAGACCUUUAUACAGUGUAGGAGAUAAUGUGUAUGAACGUUUUAUGUUCCCCCGAAGUAGUGUAAUAGCCGAUUGUUUUGUACGUUAAUCCCUAGUUUCCCAGACAUACACAUGGUUCAUUGACUAUUCUGUUGAGUCCCUUUAAGAAAAUAUAUAUUAGUUCUUGUAACUGACAUGUUUUUGAGUUAAUGCAUUUACAUAGAAAUCAGAAAUAAAUCUUUUUUCUUUUUUCA